AAAGCGGUUUUUUUAAAAACUACUCCCAAAGUCAAAAAAUGUCUA
Musca domestica (house fly) is the source of this 45-nucleotide non-coding RNA. The record is from Rfam. Lineage: Eukaryota; Metazoa; Arthropoda; Insecta; Diptera; Muscidae.